UGGAGUGUAGUUCAGUUGUAGAACACUGUCUGGCAUGCACAUGGCCCUGGGUUCAAUCCUCAACACUGCAA
This 71-nucleotide transfer RNA is filed under the name Fukomys damarensis (Damara mole-rat). It matches the Rfam family "tRNA". Rfam says of the family: Transfer RNA (tRNA) molecules are approximately 80 nucleotides in length. The record is from Rfam by way of RNAcentral. Lineage: Eukaryota; Metazoa; Chordata; Mammalia; Rodentia; Bathyergidae.